UUGCAUCGAUGAGAACGCAGCGAAAUGCGAUACGUAAUGUGAAUUGCAAAUUCAGUGAAUCAUCGAGUCUUUGAACGCACAUUGCGCCCCCUGGUAUUCCGGGGGGCAUGCCUGUCCGAGCGUCAUUGCUGCCCUCAAGCCCGGCUUGUGUGUUGGGCCCCGUCCUCCGAUUCCGGGGGACGGGCCCGAAAGGCAGCGGCGGCACCGCGUCCGGUCCUCGAGCGUAUGGGGCUUUGUCACCCGCUCUGUAGGCCCGGCCGGCGCUUGCCGAUCAACCCAAAUUUUUAUCCAGGUUGACCUCGGAUCAGGUAGGGAUACCCGCUGAACUUAAGCAUAUCAAUAAGGCGGAGGAA
Molecule: ribosomal RNA, 353 nt
Filed under: Penicillium expansum
Lineage: Eukaryota; Fungi; Ascomycota; Eurotiomycetes; Eurotiales; Aspergillaceae
Description: eukaryotic LSU rRNA
Rfam family: 5.8S ribosomal RNA (bases 1-125)
Source: RNAcentral